CAAGUGGAGGUCCUCACCGAUCACCCGACAUGAUCUUCACAAAGUUAAAACCUACAAUGAUGAGAGGUGAAAAUUCUACCGUUGCAAAUUUCUGGCAACAUUCUAAUUCAACUCAUCUCAUCUCCACAAAAACUAACCAAAGAAUGUGUGGGUUAUGAAUGGAUCAUUGAGUUGAGAUUUUGAGUUGUUUUAGUUUUGGACACUUAAUAUGUUCACUACUGCCCGAUGGAGACGUGUUUAUUUCAAUGUAUUUCAUUCUAAAUGCACUUGGUUACACUUGUGUUGAGAAGGUUGUUGAUUGUGCUCCAGGUGAGGAGUUUUGUCCCUGGAGGGAGUUCCAAUGAGGUUUAUGAUCAGGAACUUCCAUAACCGGUGGAGAUUGAACCCGUUUCAUUUUUCUUUGAAUUGCCAAUGGAUAUGUUGUCCUCAGAGGCUUCAUGGGUUUCAUAAAACGGACCAACUCACUUGUUUAUGUUCCAUUAUCUUGCCGUGAUGUGUCCAGCCUAAAGUGAGACUGCUUUGAAAGCUCCAAUUGGGACGGGUCAGUGCCUGGUCUUGCAUCUCCUGCCCUGGAAUGAGAACCUUAGGUCUAAUCACGGAUGGUCCGUUGGACAAUCAGAUUACUGUUGGCUCAAUGAGAGGUGACUUGGGCAUGGACAAGUACGUCAGGCCACCUGACGUUAGGUUGCUCCUUGACCCUUUGGUGCAGGGUUCAGACCUGGCAUCUCUCUUCAGUUGCCACCUACAUAUGAUGUCAAUUUGUUGUUUUUGAAAAUCUGAAAAUGUUCUGUUUAUUUAAGAUAUCUUGCCUUUGUAUCUGAAAUAUUUCUGGCAGUAAAUGUGAUGAAAGAAA
This is a long non-coding RNA of Amblyraja radiata (thorny skate), 853 nucleotides long. RefSeq lists it as uncharacterized. The record is from RefSeq and is a predicted model, not a curated record. Lineage: Eukaryota; Metazoa; Chordata; Chondrichthyes; Rajiformes; Rajidae. The transcript is spliced from 2 exons.